UACGGAGGGUGCGAGCGUUAAUCGGAAUUACUGGGCGUAAAGGGUGCGCAGGUGGUUUGACAAGAUAUCUGUGAAAGCCCCGGGCUCAACCUGGGAAGGUCAGAUAAGACUGUCAGACUCGAGUAUGGGAGAGGGUAGUGGAAUUUCCGGUGUAGCGGUGAAAUGCGUAGAGAUCGGAAGGAACACCAGUGGCGAAGGCGGCUACCUGGCCUGAUACUGACACUGAGGCACGAAAGCGUGGGGAGCAAACAGG
Molecule: ribosomal RNA, 253 nt
Filed under: uncultured bacterium
Lineage: Bacteria
Description: partial 16S ribosomal RNA
Rfam family: Bacterial small subunit ribosomal RNA
Source: RNAcentral